CAGAAAAUGAUUUCACAAAAACAGAGUGUUCAUAUAGUUGCAUUGCAUUUAGGAUCGAGUCUAGAGUGUUUCGUUUAGGAUUGUUGCAUAUGCAUAGGGCAUAACUCAGUGCCCUCGUUAUUAGUUGUCUGAUGCGCAGUCAAUGAAAUUAAAGUAAAAUUGUACCAUGCCUAGAUUGCUCUACUCGAUCACACUGUCAUGAUUUGAUACCAUUCCCUAUCAAUUUGAACCUAAAUCUGAUUUUCAAUUAUCAUGUCUACGUCAAUUUGAACUCAUGGAUACCCUAAAAUACUUGGAUUUUCUUAUUCAUUUUAACCACUCUUGUUAAUCUAAGUAGCUGACUCUCCUUAUUAGUGCAGUUAAUCCGAACCCAAACCUAAACUUUCUUUCAAGCCCUAUAUCACUUGUUAGUGUUUGUGAGGUCUUAUUCCGAUUAAGCUUGGUAGAAAGUAUUAGGUUUGUAGCGACAUAGAUAGUGUCUCAUGUAGUUCUAGUUCGCGUUAUCCGAAUUAUAUAGAACUAGGUGGGCGCUUAUACUCUGGGUUGGGAUGUGUCUAAAAGAAAGAAAAGGGUGGAUUCAUUGGUAAGGAAAGGUAAAAGACUCUAGGGUGAAGUAAGCUAAAGAAGCAGAAAAAAUCUAGUAAAGGUUUUGGGAUUUGUAAAGAAAAGAAAAGGAUUCUUGUUAGCUAAUGAAGAAGGGCAAAAGCCCUCAGUUUUAAAAUUUUUUAACAGGAACCUUAGUUGUUAAAGAAAUUCAAAUCCGCUAGAUAUAUCAAAGUGUUGAGAAAGCUUCUCCUAGAGUUAAGAGAAAAGAAAAGAAUGAUUAGCAAAAGGGCUUAAAAGAUUCAUGAAUGCAAAGGGUAGAUUUA
This 869-nucleotide small RNA is filed under the name Arabidopsis thaliana (thale cress). Its description in RNAcentral is "ATSL165640". Lineage: Eukaryota; Viridiplantae; Streptophyta; Magnoliopsida; Brassicales; Brassicaceae. The record is from RNAcentral.